This is a non-coding RNA of Monodelphis domestica (gray short-tailed opossum), 933 nucleotides long. The record is from RefSeq and is a predicted model, not a curated record. NCBI's taxonomy places the organism in Eukaryota, Metazoa, Chordata, Mammalia, Didelphimorphia, Didelphidae.
AGAGAGGAAACUCCAGGAGAAGUGGAUAGACAGGUCAAAAUCUGUAGAGAGGUCAAAUAGAACUAAGAAAGGGCUAUGGGAUUUAGUAGUAAAGAGAUAAUUAGUAAUCCUGGAGUGAAAGUCUCAGUCAAAUGACAGAAUCACAAGUCAGCUUUUAUAGAACCUGAGAAAUAAGUGGGAGGUGGAGAGACUAGGAACAUACGUAUAGGUGGCAGAGAUGAAGACAGCUGAAAAGAAGAAUAAAGAUUACAGAGAGAAGAUGGAAAAGGAGGAUAUCAAGAGUACAAAUGUAAAGAUUAGCUUUGGCAAAGAAAAGACCUACUUCUUCCACAAAAGUUGGAGCAAAUAAGAAGAGAAUGGUUAAUGCUGAGGAGAUUUUUUAAAAGUGGGGAGUAGGGAAAAAGAGGGAGGCUACAAUGGCCUCUAUUUUCCAAUAAAAUAAAAGAUUUCUACCUGGAUAUUGGGCUUUCACUACUUUAGCCUUAAGUAAAGAGAUCAUUUAGGAACAGGAACUCUCUGCUCAACAGUUAACCACUUACAUGGAACUCAUUGCACAUAGGCCCUGAUUAUACAAACUUAAACAAAAAUGAAACGAUUCAAUAAAGGCCAAACUGUGAAGCCACAGAGAAAGAAGGCAGAAGGCUGACUUAACUCCUUGUUAACUGCCUCCCUUUCUAUCAGGCUAGAAGUCAAAGUGACAGAAAAAAUACACACAAUAAUAAACUGACCAAUAAUCAAUCAACAAGAAUCUAUUAACCGUCUGCUCUGUGCCAAGUUGAGUAUUAUUCUUUGGGGAUGCAAGUAUGAAGAAUGAAACAACUUAACCUGUAAGGCAUUUACAUUAUAACCAGGGAGAUAAGAAGUACAGUAGUCCCCUCUUAUUUGUAGUUUUGCUUUCUGCAGUUUCAGUUCCCUAGGGUCAUUCCAGGAAAA